This is a long non-coding RNA of Astatotilapia calliptera (eastern happy), 4957 nucleotides long. The record is from Ensembl. NCBI's taxonomy places the organism in Eukaryota, Metazoa, Chordata, Actinopteri, Cichliformes, Cichlidae.
GUAAAAUAGGUACCUAAUGGAUUGGCAGAUGAGUGUAUUUUAUUUUAUUUUUUUUACAUUAGACAUCACGUCUAACAUAAGCUCAAAAACAGACUAACAACUCAAAAUGUCCCCAUAUUUCCAUACAUCACACCCAAACAUUGCAAUUUAUUCCCAGGACAUGCGCUACAUGUGAGCACACCCAGAGGUCUUGGAAAAGGAAAAUGUGUAAUUACUAAUAAGUACAUUUAAAUACUGCAUAAAGCAAAAGGUUUCAGUUUGAGAAGUGUCCUAAAUAUUUGUGUCAAAUGGUGCCAUUGACAAACAAGUACAGCCACUCGCUCUUACAGAUCCAGACCCAACCAGAUAAAGGCGGGCUUCAUGCAUGUGUAAACACUUUCAAAGGCCAACAUUUUUGGAUGUUAUAGAUGUUUAAUGUAUCUAUGUUAAAAUGCAAACCACUGAUACCUUGGCCUUGGCACUGCUUAUUGCUCAUAGGAUGAUGACAGUGGUAGCCAAUUAACACUGGGAUAUCCAAGCCAGGAAGGGCAGAGUGAAAGUCUUUCCUCUUUUGGCAGACUCAGUGGGGGUGGCAGAUGGUACUUAGACAGGCUAAGCUGUGUACUUCUGUCUCUGUAGAGAUUAGAAACCAGGUGCUCCCUUGUAAACGUGACUGCAGGCCAAUCAAUAAAGCCUUUGUUAAGUUUAUCUUCUUUGAUUCUAUUCUCUUUAAUUCUAUUUAACCAGCUUGAAUUUGGAAUCAACUCCAAGAUGAAACAACCUCUAGAGGGCAUCAAAACAUUCCAGUUCAAUGGAUUAAGUGGUGUAAAUUUAUUUUAAAUAAUCAUUAUUCUCCAUUUAGGAUUUUCUGGUCUUUGGAUGAUCUUUAGGCUUGUUAGAAAAUAUGCAACAAAACCCACAAAUGAUACAUCAAGCUAUACAGAAAAAAGCAGCUGUGAUCAGUGUAAUCUCCUCUGUGUGGCCUCAGAGUAAAUCCAAGAGUAAGAGUGGCUUAGUAAAGAGUCCCUUCAGACAUUGUACAGUGACUGGAGCAGCCAGAACCAGUGCAUCCAACCUAUGAAACCUGCUUAGAGGCAUUUUGGAAAUAGACUUUCAUAAACCAAGAGGCUCACCAAAGCUAAAAAAAAGUGUGAAGCAGCUUGGUCUUUUAUUAAUAUUGUCAAGAAUAUAUCCCAUACAUCCCAUCAUUUAAUUCUUAUUCAUAUUGCUUGUUCUUGCUAAGUUAACCCUUGAAGAUUUAGGCAUGCUACAUUCACAAAGGAUAUUUUGUGAGUUUUUUUCCCCCAUACAAGUAGGCUAGCUUAAAUAGUUUUAUAGUGUUGUCUACAUAACUGACAGUUGUGUUUAUGGUACAAUAUUUAUUUAUUUUUAAAAAAGUAUAAACCAUGUUGUUCCAUAAGAUUGGACCCUUCUUUUGUUGAACUGUCAACUGAAAGUGUAAACCUUUCUAAAUCUGACAGAGCAGGAAGCUGCUGCUAAUGCUAGCCAGGGUUCUCAGGAAGUAGCUGCUAAUGCUAGCCAGCAUUCUAACAAAGUCAUUUCCUGGACCAGCUGGAACAGUGGCUGUUUUGGUCCAAGAGUUUUUCCUAACAUAAUCUAUGGACUGGUAUUGUUAUUUUUUUUUUAAAAUAAUAAUAAAGAUACAAAAAAGCAUAUUUGUCACAGAUACAAAGCAGAGUUAAAAGAGCGAGGAAGUAUUGAAGCUGGGACUAGCAUAACAAUUUGGGUUAUUUUGACUAUAAGUCUAGUGCUGGUCUAGUCCCUGAUAUUCUGUUUGUAGUGUUCAAGAACCAGGACAUAUAACAUCACUUCUUUUCUUUUGACGGCUUCCCAUUGAUCAGGCCGGACUCCCAGCGUUGCCAGAGAGAAGCUUUCUGUCCUCCUGCUCGGUGAACUUUUGGCUCCUGCUGUGAGAUAAGACGAAGAAAAACAAAAACAACCUGGAUUUAGAGUGAGAGAUUAGCUCCUGCUUUCUCAAUUCACAAUCAAUUAUACUUAUCCAAGCAUUUCUACAACAAAGAGGAUACUUUAAACUUAAUGUUUUUCUUUUAUUUGUUUAGUAUUUGUUUAGUAUUACAAAAUUUGAAAUUCUGAGCUCUGUAGCAACUCUUUUCAAUGCUUCUGUAUGGAAUUCAGUGCAAUACACAAAACAGGACCUUUUUAUAAUCCUCUGUUCUUGCCAGUGUUUAGCAAUACAUCCAAUAGUUUUACAGAACAAUGAAGAAAACAGUAAAUGUAGAAUUAAGGCUUGUUGCAGGUGAAUCACCUCUAUCUGCUCCAGUUUUAUCUGGUCCUUUUUAGAAGGAGGUGGCCAAACCCGCUCCAGUUUCCCCCGUGACUGUUUCCUGCUGUCUGUAGGACAGAAAGAGAAAAAGAACAACUAAGUAGCUCAGUAGCUAAGCUACUAUAUUUGGUAAGAUUAGCAGCUCUCUACUGCUUAGACUGAUUUUAGAAGUUUUAGGGUAGUUCUGAGAAUCUACACAGUUCUAUUGUAAUGACAACUGCGUCUCUGCUUGCGCAGCUCCUCUUCUCUUUCUUUGGCUUCUCGGAUGUCCUUCUCUACCUCUGGUUGUAGAGCCAGGGCUGGGCGCAAUUUGAAGAAUGGGUUUUGCUUGAGGAUUGAAGACUCUUUGUUUGCAUUUGCUGCCUUUGCUUUACCCUCCACAGCUAACGUAGAGAAGUCAUUGCUUAUAGAGUCCAUGCUUCUGUACAGGCGAAUGUUUUUGUCUUGUUUUGGGUAAGGGGAUAAGCGAGUUUUGUCUCGUGACCCUCCAGUUGGGCUCUUUGAUCUGAUGCUGUCAGGACUUUUUUCCUUCUCAAGAUUUGCAGAUUGGUACAGCCUGAGGGAAUGUGCUCUGGAAACAGGACAAGUUUUGAGGGAAAACAUCUCAAGGCUACGUGUGCGCUCUAGCACUGAAGGGUAAAUGUGACCUUUCCUCAGAGUUGUGGGGGAUUUACGGUGUCUUGUUGGACCCUCCGGAUUGUCCUGCUGGAAGGCUUCAAACAGCAGUUUUGUCUCUUUUAACUGGCGGAUCUCUCCUUUGCUGUACCCCCCUGGGAUUUUACCUUGAUUGACCAGCACUAGUUCUCUCUGAAUAUCCUGACUUAUCUCUUUGAGCAUCUUCUGUUCAGAGAAUUGCCACUCGUUGCAUUGGCUUGUACCUACCUUGGUAGUGAGUGACUCAAGAGAGAUAUCUGUUUUAAAGGGAAUCUCCAGCACAUCUGGAUUUUCUGCAAGAUUGAAAACACCUCCAGCUCUCUGCAGCUUCUGCUUCCCCUGGGCUGCCUCAUGGAGCUGCCUCUCCAUGUAGGUUUCAGCAGCUGAAAAUCGGUGUCCAGUGGAAAGAAAUGGAAUUUCAUUAGAAGUUUCAUGAGGAUUACUGGGAGUCAAAUCUGUAGGCUCCCAGCUAUCACUCUGAUUGUCAUUAGAGUCACUCGGAUCUAUUCUGACAACCCUCUGGUCUUCUUCUGACUCUCCUGGAAUUGUGGAUGAAGAUGUCCUUGCUCUUGUUUGAAUGUCUUUGUCCUCAUUAUUUUCCUUUUCCAUCAGGCUCACCUUUUCUUCAUCUUCCUUAAGAGUUUCGAAUCUGCCUUCUUCCCUCUCUUCUUCACUAGGUAUAUUCUCUGUUUCAGUCCCAAACAUGCCCUUUUUUUCAUCCAUCAUGACAGCCUGCUGUUGGGUAUCAGCGUUCUCUGACAUUUUCACAUCAUGUCGUAGCUGUACCAGCUGCAGACGAUGAAGCAGUUGCUCACCUUGUUGGAUAUCAGUAGAUAUUUUCCUGCUUCCAUCCUCUUGCUCCCCCAUUGUCUCUCUUUCUUCAGAACCUUUGGAGCUGGAUAGCACUUGCAUUUCUGUGCUGCCGCUUUCUUUCCUCACACAGUCGCACUUUAUGAGGUUAUAAUCCAAAGAUGUACGGUCAUCAUGCUCUUCAUUGUCUUUGUCCGUAUCUGUUUGGAAGUCAGCAGCCUGUGCCUGACUGGUUGCUGUAUCGGUCCUGUUUUGGUUGCAUUUACAGAGCUUGAAAUCAUCAUCGGAAUUUGCCUCCACACUCUCGAUAGCUAUACUUUCUCUUAAUAGUUUUAAGUCUGUUUCAUCAAAAUCACCAAUGUCCUUGUGUUUUAUUUUGUCUCCGUCUUUGUCUAAAUGGAUCUGAUUCUCAGAGUCUUCUCUGUGGUUUGAAUGUGUUUGUUUUGGGUAACUGUCUUCCUCCGUAUUGGCUUCCCAGCAGUUUCCCUGUUCUUCACUUAUAAUUACAAUGUCCUCUGGUUUGUCAUUCUCUGUUGCGUUAUUCCCGUAAGGUCUUCGAUCUGUAUCAUAACCAGUUUCCAUCAGACAACCAGUCACAUCCAUGGAUUGUUGUUCUUGAUAAGUUGGUGGAGAGGAGUCUUGUUCAUUGGAUAUGUUGGCCAUAGACAACUGCACUGCACUUGCAGUCACCUCUUCAUCCAGCUCGUUUCGUGCUACCAUUAACUGCUCCUCACUAUGAGACAAGUCUAAGCCUCUUGGAUUAGCUUCAGCCUCUGUUGCGUCAACUGAAAGGGUCACACCAGACUUACUUGCUGUUGCACCUGUGCUUUUCUCUGCUGGCAGCGAUGUAGCCGUGCGAGGUGGAGGAGGUGGUUGAGGGAUGAAGACAUCAUCUGCACCUUCAUCAUCCAUCACACUGUAGUACCUCAUUAUAGCAGUGGGAGCAGCAGAGAUCGUUGUGAUUUUGUCUUCAGAGGUCGCUGAAAAAUUCUCUGUGUGGUUGCUCACAUGGUUUGAAUCCAUCUUCAUCCACAGACCACUGUCAUCAUCAGAAAGUAGAAUUUGAGGGCUGCGUCUAGGACCUCUUGCUUCCAUGUUGAAACGUCUUUGAAGCAGUUUGUGGUGUUCUGUCUGCGUUGCCUUUUAAUAAAAUUUAAAUAAGAGACAUGAGUGUCAUUGAGGCUUAUAAGCGUCAGUGCUAGUAAUUGU